This 275-nucleotide transfer-messenger RNA is filed under the name Staphylococcus aureus. Its description in RNAcentral is "partial transfer-messenger RNA". It matches the Rfam family "transfer-messenger RNA", at positions 87 to 374 of the family's 374-position model. From Rfam's summary of the family: Bacterial tmRNA, also known as 10Sa RNA or SsrA, is named for its dual tRNA and mRNA-like properties. Its role is to liberate the mRNA from a stalled ribosome. To accomplish this part of the tmRNA is used as a reading frame that ends in a translation stop signal. Lineage: Bacteria; Bacillati; Bacillota; Bacilli; Caryophanales; Staphylococcaceae. The record is from RNAcentral.
AUAACUGGCAAAUCAAACAAUAAUUUCGCAGUAGCUGCCUAAUCGCACUCUGCAUCGCCUAACAGCAUUUCCUAUGUGCUGUUAACGCGAUUCAACCUUAAUAGGAUAUGCUAAACACUGCCGUUUGAAGUCUGUUUAGAAGAAACUUAAUCAAACUAGCAUCAUGUUGGUUGUUUAUCACUUUUCAUGAUGCGAAACCUAUCGAUAAACUACACACGUAGAAAGAUGUGUAUCAGGACCUUUGGACGCGGGUUCAAAUCCCGCCGUCUCCAUAU